AGAGCGAACGCUGGCGGCAGGCCUAACACAUGCAAGUCGAGCGCCCGUAGCAAUACGGGAGCGGCAGACGGGAGAGUAACACGUGGGAACGCGCCCUUCGGUUCGGAAUAACUCAGGGAAACUUGAGCUAAUACCGGAUACGCCCUUACGGGGAAAGAUUUAUUGCCGAAGGAACGGCCCGCGUCCGAUUAGCUAGUUGGUGAGGUAAUGGCUCACCAAGGCGACGAUCGGUAGCUGGUCUGAGAGGAUGACCAGCCUCACUGGGACUGAGACACGGCCCAGACUCCUACGGGAGGCAGCAGUGGGGAAUAUUGGACAAUGGGCGCAAGCCUGAUCCAGCCAUGCCGCGUGAGUGAUGAAGGCCUUAGGGUUGUAAAGCUCUUUUAGCAGGGAAGAUAAUGAGGUACCUGCAGAAAAGCCAGGCUAACUUCGUGCCAGCAGCCGC
RNAcentral lists this ribosomal RNA (445 nucleotides) under uncultured bacterium. RNAcentral describes it as "SSU rRNA". It matches the Rfam family "Bacterial small subunit ribosomal RNA", at positions 26 to 518 of the family's 1533-position model. The record is from RNAcentral.